RNAcentral lists this ribosomal RNA (253 nucleotides) under uncultured bacterium. Its description in RNAcentral is "partial 16S ribosomal RNA". It matches the Rfam family "Bacterial small subunit ribosomal RNA", at positions 524 to 776 of the family's 1533-position model. The record is from RNAcentral.
UACGGGGGGGGCAAGCGUUGUUCGGAAUUACUGGGCGUAAAGGGCUCGUAGGCGGCCAACUAAGUCCGACGUGAAAUCCCCAGGCUUAACCUGGGAACUGCGUCGGAUACUGGAUGGCUUGAAUUCGGGAGAGGGAUGCAGAAUUCCAGGUGUAGCGGUGAAAUGCGCAGAUAUCAGGAGGAACACCUAUUGCGAAGGCAGCUCGCUGGGACGUAACUGACGCUGAGACGCGAAAGCGUGGGGAGCAAACAGG